Long non-coding RNA from Suricata suricatta (meerkat), 579 nucleotides. RefSeq lists it as uncharacterized. The record is from RefSeq and is a predicted model, not a curated record. The transcript is spliced from 5 exons. NCBI's taxonomy places the organism in Eukaryota, Metazoa, Chordata, Mammalia, Carnivora, Herpestidae.
UCAGGGAAUUUACAGUCUCACUGAGGAGCUCGGACAGGUCAAUGAAACAUCUAGAAAACAACCACUGGAAAAAGAGCUAAACUGCAAUGGAGAUCCCUUGAAGAAUUUCAGGCAGUAAUUUUGCCCGAAAGCAAGGCUGUCAUCGUUAAAGCUGCUGAUCAACUCUUCUGAGUCUUUGGAGGGACCCAGAGUUUCAGUUUCAAGAAUGCAUGUGCUGCAGGAGAGAGAGGUUGUGGAUGCUGAAACAGAUGUGCUCAAAUACCCAGUCGCAGCCUGAGUGUGAUCACUUGCUCAGGGGAAAGCUGGCUGCCAUAUUUUGAACAGUCCUGUGGAGAAGACUACUUGGUGAGACAUGGAGGCCUCCAGAUACACUGAGAGAAGCUGAGGCUCAGGUAUGUAAGUGAGCCCUCCUGGAAGUGGAUCCCCCAGACCCAGUCAAGCCUUCAGAUGACAGCCAUCCUGGCCAACAUCUUGAUUGCAACCUCAUGGGAGAUUCUGAGCUGGAAACACCCAAAUAAACCAGUCCUAGAGACCUGACUCUCAGAAGCUGUUUGAGAUAAUAAAUGUUUGUUGUUUUAA